This 419-nucleotide ribosomal RNA is filed under the name bacterium. RNAcentral's name for it is "partial 16S ribosomal RNA". It matches the Rfam family "Bacterial small subunit ribosomal RNA", at positions 355 to 776 of the family's 1533-position model. The record is from RNAcentral.
UGGGGGAUAUUGCACAAUGGGCGAAAGCCUGAUGCAGCGACGCCGCGUGGGGGAUGAAGGCCUUCGGGUUGUAAACUUCUUUUGCUCUGAACAAGGCGCACCAUGGGGUGUGUUGAGUGUCGGGGUUGAUUAGCGCCGGCUAACUACGUGCCAGCAGCCGCGGUAAUACGUAGGGCGCGAGCGUUGUCCGGAAUUAUUGGGCGUAAAGGGCUUGUAGGUGGCUGGUUGCGUCUGUCGUGAAAGCUCAUGGCUUAACUGUGGGUUUGCGGUGGGUACGGGCUGGCUUGAGUGCAGUAGGGGAGGCUGGAAUUCCUGGUGUAGCGGUGGAAUGCGCAGAUAUCAGGAGGAAUACCGGUGGCGAAGGCGGGUCUAAGGGCUGUUACUGACACUGAGGAGCGAAAGCAUGGGGAGCGAACAGG